This is a non-coding RNA of Danio rerio (zebrafish), 292 nucleotides long. The record is from RefSeq and is a predicted model, not a curated record. Lineage: Eukaryota; Metazoa; Chordata; Actinopteri; Cypriniformes; Danionidae.
UCAGGAAGUGACAUCAUAGAUUGGAGGCAACGUAACCACAACGAUGACACACCAGUUUUUUGCACAGCAGUUCCUGAUUUUGGAAAGAUGUAUCAUGUCAAAGGUGUGCUGUCUUUGCCUCAUUCUGAGAUAGAGGAGCCGUUUGAAGCUUGGUACGAUCUUGAUGGGAACAGAAGUCACAUUGACUAUCCUAAUAGCACAGUGCGCACCUUUCAGAUUGGAAAUGACUUGGAUUUUGGUGCCAUUUACAAGAUCACACCAGUCCUUCCUCCCAGUGAUAUUAAGUGUUUCG